RNAcentral lists this ribosomal RNA (1395 nucleotides) under Staphylococcus aureus. Its description in RNAcentral is "bacterial SSU rRNA". It matches the Rfam family "Bacterial small subunit ribosomal RNA", at positions 161 to 1533 of the family's 1533-position model. The record is from RNAcentral. Lineage: Bacteria; Bacillati; Bacillota; Bacilli; Caryophanales; Staphylococcaceae.
AGCUAAUACCGGAUAAUAUUUUGAACCGCAUGGUUCAAAAGUGAAAGACGGUCUUGCUGUCACUUAUAGAUGGAUACGCGCUGCAUUAGCUAGUUGGUAAGGUAACGGCUUACCAAGGCAACGAUGCAUAGCCGACCUGAGAGGGUGAUCGGCCACACUGGAACUGAGACACGGUCCAGACUCCUACGGGAGGCAGCAGUAGGGAAUCUUCCGCAAUGGGCGAAAGCCUGACGGAGCAACGCCGCGUGAGUGAUGAAGGUCUUCGGAUCGUAAAACUCUGUUAUUAGGGAAGAACAUAUGUGUAAGUAACUGUGCACAUCUUGACGGUACCUAAUCAGAAAGCCACGGCUAACUACGUGCCAGCAGCCGCGGUAAUACGUAGGUGGCAAGCGUUAUCCGGAAUUAUUGGGCGUAAAGCGCGCGUAGGCGGUUUUUUAAGUCUGAUGUGAAAGCCCACGGCUCAACCGUGGAGGGUCAUUGGAAACUGGAAAACUUGAGUGCAGAAGAGGAAAGUGGAAUUCCAUGUGUAGCGGUGAAAUGCGCAGAGAUAUGGAGGAACACCAGUGGCGAAGGCGACUUUCUGGUCUGUAACUGACGCUGAUGUGCGAAAGCGUGGGGAUCAAACAGGAUUAGAUACCCUGGUAGUCCACGCCGUAAACGAUGAGUGCUAAGUGUUAGGGGGUUUCCCGCCCCUUAGUGCUGCAGCUAACGCAUUAAGCACUCCGCCUGGGGAGUACGACCGCAAGGUUGAAACUCAAAGGAAUUGACGGGGACCCGCACAAGCGGUGGAGCAUGUGGUUUAAUUCGAAGCAACGCGAAGAACCUUACCAAAUCUUGACAUCCUUUGACAACUCUAGAGAUAGAGCCUUCCCCUUCGGGGGACAAAGUGACAGGUGGUGCAUGGUUGUCGUCAGCUCGUGUCGUGAGAUGUUGGGUUAAGUCCCGCAACGAGCGCAACCCUUAAGCUUAGUUGCCAUCAUUAAGUUGGGCACUCUAAGUUGACUGCCGGUGACAAACCGGAGGAAGGUGGGGAUGACGUCAAAUCAUCAUGCCCCUUAUGAUUUGGGCUACACACGUGCUACAAUGGACAAUACAAAGGGCAGCGAAACCGCGAGGUCAAGCAAAUCCCAUAAAGUUGUUCUCAGUUCGGAUUGUAGUCUGCAACUCGACUACAUGAAGCUGGAAUCGCUAGUAAUCGUAGAUCAGCAUGCUACGGUGAAUACGUUCCCGGGUCUUGUACACACCGCCCGUCACACCACGAGAGUUUGUAACACCCGAAGCCGGUGGAGUAACCUUUUAGGAGCUAGCCGUCGAAGGUGGGACAAAUGAUUGGGGUGAAGUCGUAACAAGGUAGCCGUAUCGGAAGGUGCGGCUGGAUCACCUCCUUUCUAAGGA